This is a non-coding RNA of Armillaria borealis, 93 nucleotides long. Lineage: Eukaryota; Fungi; Basidiomycota; Agaricomycetes; Agaricales; Physalacriaceae. The record is from the annotation of a GenBank genome assembly.
UCUCUGGUAGUAUAUCGGUUAGUACACGCGCCUGUCAUCACUGACACAUCGAUAUAUGCGCGCGAAAGCUGGGUUCGACUCCCAGCCAGAGAG